Molecule: transfer RNA, 82 nt
Filed under: bovine gut metagenome
Rfam family: tRNA
About the family: Transfer RNA (tRNA) molecules are approximately 80 nucleotides in length. Their secondary structure includes four short double-helical elements and three loops (D, anti-codon, and T loops). Further hydrogen bonds mediate the characteristic L-shaped molecular structure. tRNAs have two regions of fundamental functional importance: the anti-codon, which is responsible for specific mRNA codon recognition, and the 3' end, to which the tRNAs corresponding amino acid is attached (by aminoacyl-tRNA synthetases). tRNAs cope with the degeneracy of the genetic code in two manners: having more than one tRNA (with a specific anti-codon) for a particular amino acid; and 'wobble' base-pairing, i.e. permitting non-standard base-pairing at the 3rd anti-codon position.
Source: RNAcentral
GAGGAAUGGCAGAGUGGUCGAAUGCGGCGGUCUUGAAAACCGUUGACUCAAAAGGUCCGUGGGUUCGAAUCCUACUUCCUCC